Long non-coding RNA from Cornus florida, 703 nucleotides. RefSeq lists it as uncharacterized. The transcript has 2 exons. NCBI's taxonomy places the organism in Eukaryota, Viridiplantae, Streptophyta, Magnoliopsida, Cornales, Cornaceae. The record is from RefSeq and is a predicted model, not a curated record.
GUUAAUUGUAAGUAUUUCAUUUAUUAAUUAUAUAAAUACAUAUAAAUAAAUGUUAUAUAUAUUAGAGAGAGAGAGAGAGAGAGAGAUUUAUUUGUUUUAUUUUUGUGGUAUCGGUGUAAAGGGGAGGAAUGGAAUUGGGUAGCCGAAAGUGAGAGGGUAAAAGGGGAAAGGGAAAGGGAAAGGGAAAGAAAAAAGAAAAGAAAAGAAAAGAAAAGAAAAGAAAGAAAGGGAAAAAGAAAAGGAAGAGAAGAAUGAUGAUAAAAGGAGGUUGGUUAUAAUUAUUUUUUUGUGUUAGUGUAUUUGUGAGAUAAGAGAAGAUUCGGGAGAGGGAGAUAGAUAGAGAAAGAGAGAGGUUGAUGAGGAAUGAAGAAGAAGUAGGAGAAGAGAUCAAGUAGAAGAAGGUGGUCGGAGGUCCUUGUCAAUUUUAGCUUCAGGGAUGACGACUCAGCGUAUUAGGGAUUUUAUUCAUCUUCCACUCCUUUCGAUUAUUUUAUUGUAUGAGUUUUUCUGACUUUAGAGUUAUUACGGAUUUUGGUUUAGGGGUCCUCAUAUUAAAGGAUUCCCAAGUUGUAUUAUUUAAAGUAUUAAAGUGUUGGGUUUUAUUUCAAUAAUUCAUGUAGAAAUCGAAUAUACUGUAAUUAAUUAAAGAGUAAUUUAGAUAUCGUACCUGAUUGAUGAUCAACGCACAUAUACCUUUUGAAUA